CCUACGGGUGGCUGCAGUGGGGAAUAUUGCACAAUGGGGGAAACCCUGAUGCAGCGACGCCGCGUGAGUGAAGAAGUAUUUCGGUAUGUAAAGCUCUAUCAGCAGGGAAGAAAAUGACGGUACCUGAUUAAGAAGCCCCGGCUAACUACGUGCCAGCAGCCGCGGUAAUACGUAGGGGGCAAGCGUUAUCCGGAUUUACUGGGUGUAAAGGGAGCGUAGACGGCAGCACAAGUCUGGAGUGAAAUGCCGGGGCUUAACCCCGGAACUGCUUUGGAAACUGUGCAGCUAGAGUACUGGAGAGGCAGACGGAAUUCCUAGUGUAGCGGUGAAAUGCGUAGAUAUUAGGAGGAACACCAGUGGCGAAGGCGGUCUGCUGGACAGCAACUGACGCUGAGGCGCGAAAGCGUGGGGAGCAAACAGGAUUAGAUACCCCAGUAGUC
RNAcentral lists this ribosomal RNA (440 nucleotides) under uncultured bacterium. Its description in RNAcentral is "partial 16S ribosomal RNA". It matches the Rfam family "Bacterial small subunit ribosomal RNA", at positions 338 to 795 of the family's 1533-position model. The record is from RNAcentral.